GACGAACGCUGGCGGCGUGCUUAACACAUGCAAGUCGAACGGAAAGGCCCUGCUUUUGUGGGGUGCUCGAGUGGCGAACGGGUGAGUAACACGUGAGUAACCUGCCCUUGACUUUGGGAUAACUUCAGGAAACUGGGGCUAAUACCGGAUAGGAGCUCCUGCUGCAUGGUGGGGGUUGGAAAGUUCCGGCGGUUGGGGAUGGACUCGCGGCUUAUCAGCUUGUUGGUGGGGUAGUGGCUUACCAAGGCUUUGACGGGUAGCCGGCCUGAGAGGGUGACCGGCCACAUUGGGACUGAGAUACGGCCCAGACUCCUACGGGAGGCAGCAGUGGGGAAUAUUGCACAAUGGGCGGAAGCCUGAUGCAGCAACGCCGCGUGCGGGAUGACGGCCUUCGGGUUGUAAACCGCUUUCGCCUGUGACGAAGCGUGAGUGACGGUAAUGGGUAAAGAAGCACCGGCUAACUACGUGCCAGCAGCCGCGGUGAUACGUAGGGUGCGAGCGUUGUCCGGAUUUAUUGGGCGUAAAGGGCUCGUAGGUGGUUGAUCGCGUCGGAAGUGUAAUCUUGGGGCUUAACCCUGAGCGUGCUUUCGAUACGGGUUGACUUGAGGAAGGUAGGGGAGAAUGGAAUUCCUGGUGGAGCGGUGGAAUGCGCAGAUAUCAGGAGGAACACCAGUGGCGAAGGCGGUUCUCUGGGCCUUUCCUGACGCUGAGGAGCGAAAGCGUGGGGAGCGAACAGGCUUAGAUACCCUGGUAGUCCACGCUGUAAACGGUGGGUACUAGGUGUGGGGUCCAUUCCACGGGUUCCGUGCCGUAGCUAACGCUUUAAGUACCCCGCCUGGGGAGUACGGCCGCAAGGCUAAAACUCAAAGGAAUUGACGGGGCCCCGCACAAGCGGCGGAGCAUGCGGAUUAAUUCGAUGCAACGCGUAGAACCUUACCUGGGUUUGACAUGGAUCGGGAGUGCUCAGAGAUGGGUGUGCCUCUUUUGGGGUCGGUUCACAGGUGGUGCAUGCCUGUCGUCAGCUCGUGUCGUGAGAUGUUGGGUUAAGUCCCGCAACGAGCGCAACCCUUGUUCACUGUUGCCAGCACGUUAUGGUGGGGACUCAGUGGAGACCGCCGGGGUCAACUCGGAGGAAGGUGGGGAUGACGUCAAGUCAUCAUGCCCCUUAUGUCCAGGGCUUCACGCAUGCUACAAUGGCUGGUACAGAGAGUGGCGAGCCUGUGAGGGUGAGCGAAUCUCGGAAAGCCGGUCUCAGUUCGGAUUGGGGUCUGCAACUCGACCUCAUGAAGUCGGAGUCGCUAGUAAUCGCAGAUCAGCAACGCUGCGGUGAAAAAGUUCCCGGGGCU
Molecule: ribosomal RNA, 1346 nt
Filed under: uncultured bacterium
Lineage: Bacteria
Description: partial 16S ribosomal RNA
Rfam family: Bacterial small subunit ribosomal RNA
Source: RNAcentral